UAACGGCGAGUGAAGCGGCAACAGCUCAAAUUUGAAAUCUGGCUCUCGGGCCCGAGUUGUAAUUUGUAGAGGAUGCUUUUGAUGCGGUGCCUUCCGAGUUCCCUGGAACGGGACGCCAUAGAGGGUGAGAGCCCCGUCUGGUUGGAUGCCAAAUCUCUGUAAAGCUCCUUCGACGAGUCGAGUAGUUUGGGAAUGCUGCUCUAAAUGGGAGGUAUAUGUCUUCUAAAGCUAAAUACCGGCCAGAGACCGAUAGCGCACAAGUAGAGUGAUCGAAAGAUGAAAAGCACUUUGAAAAGAGAGUUAAAAAGUACGUGAAAUUGUUGAAAGGGAAGCGUUUAUGACCAGACUUGGGCUUGGUUAAUCAUCUGGGGUUCUCCCCAGUGCACUUUUCCAGUCCAGGCCAGCAUCAGUUUUCGCCGGGGGAUAAAGGCUUCGGGAAUGUGGCUCUCUCCGGGGAGUGUUAUAGCCCGUUGCGUAAUACCCUGGCGGGGACUGAGGUUCGCGCAUCUGCAAGGAUGCUGGCGUAAUGGUCAUCAACGACCCGUCUUGAAACACGGACCAAGGAGUCGUCUUCGUAUGCG
This 581-nucleotide unclassified non-coding RNA is filed under the name Fusarium equiseti. RNAcentral describes it as "sequence contains 28S rRNA gene". It matches the Rfam family "Eukaryotic large subunit ribosomal RNA", at positions 84 to 688 of the family's 3401-position model. Lineage: Eukaryota; Fungi; Ascomycota; Sordariomycetes; Hypocreales; Nectriaceae. The record is from RNAcentral.